Paramuricea clavata is the source of this 378-nucleotide non-coding RNA. Lineage: Eukaryota; Metazoa; Cnidaria; Anthozoa; Malacalcyonacea; Plexauridae. The record is from the annotation of a GenBank genome assembly.
GUAAUUCGGAAAUAGACAAUUGCUUUAUAAGUGGCAAAAACUUCAUGCACAUAAAUAAUUUAUACUUUUUCGUUCGUACGUAUACUAUGCAAUGAAUUUGAUCUGUUUCACACCACGGAAAUUUUACGUCAAGUAUUGUUGGCCACAUAUAAAAUACACCGUAUGAUAGUAUAGCUGCAGAGUCUAUCCUGCGUAGUAAACGAUCGAUACUGCGUUGCUGAAAGUUAAUGAACAUAAUAGCUAAACCUAAUAUUAAACCCAAUCCUAUAUACACCCAAUCAUAUUUCUAUUUCAAGACUUAAUCUUGAUGCUAAACCUAAUCCCAAAACUAAAUCUAACUGAUAAAUCGGACUCUAAACUUAAUCAUAACGUUAGACC